UGUUCCCUGCGGUGUUCGUCAAGGCCAUAGAUUCCUUGAACCAAUGCUAAGUUGGCAUCGGUUGGCUGACCGUAAAUACCACUGUUGUGCCCGUCCCUCCGUCGGAUGGGCCUGAUGUGGAAGGAAAGCUACCUCAUCUGAACCCAGGUUCAGGAUGCCGGUCUAACGGCACAGGCGGGGACUUA
RNAcentral lists this non-coding RNA (185 nucleotides) under Accumulibacter sp. RNAcentral's name for it is "6S RNA". It matches the Rfam family "6S / SsrS RNA". From Rfam's summary of the family: E. coli 6S RNA was the first non coding RNA to be sequenced, but its function was unknown until recently. It consists of 184 nucleotides that fold into an extended hairpin structure with a large single-stranded internal bulge. The 6S RNA specifically associates with RNA polymerase holoenzyme containing the sigma70 specificity factor. Lineage: Bacteria; Pseudomonadati; Pseudomonadota; Betaproteobacteria. The record is from RNAcentral.